GCAGACUGUGUGGUUGGAUCAUCAAGUCUCUCACUGACUAUGAUCCCUAUCAAAAUUACUGAUUUUCCCCUCCUUUUCUGCAAUGUACUUCUGACU
Molecule: long non-coding RNA, 96 nt
Organism: Strigops habroptila (Kakapo)
Lineage: Eukaryota; Metazoa; Chordata; Aves; Psittaciformes; Psittacidae
Exons: 3
Source: RefSeq, a predicted model, not a curated record